Cyanistes caeruleus (blue tit) is the source of this 527-nucleotide non-coding RNA. NCBI's taxonomy places the organism in Eukaryota, Metazoa, Chordata, Aves, Passeriformes, Paridae. The record is from RefSeq and is a predicted model, not a curated record.
GGCAUGUCUGUGCCUAGGAACAGCCAGCCUGGUCAUUGCUGAUUUCCCCCAGGACAGCUUGCAGCUCUGAGGUGAGAGGUGCCAGAACACCACCCUGAACCCCUAUGACCUCUUGGCCCUGAAACCAUCGCUUGGGGAAACACUGCAACUCCAGGAAGGUACUUAACUGGGGUAGAAGAAAGUUGUUUGCAACUGAAGCCUGCAGUGGAUGAUUUUGAUAAGGAGUAUUGCAUUAAAUUCAGCAAACCAGAAUAAUACCUACUGUGUCCUGUAUGUGAACCCUGUAUUGGCACUGCUGUGAUUGGAUGACAGUCACCAUUCAGCCAAUAAAGAUGGAUUUGGACGUCUGCAGCCUUUCAAGAAGGAGAUUGCCCUCUCUCAGCUCAAUGUUCUGAGUGCUGUCAAUGAGGUCAUACAUAUGUUCUCACUAAUAUAAUGGUCGCUUCAGUUUAACCAUCAAGAUAUUGAUUUCACCCUUGGGAAACUACCAAGCUGGGCGUCAUUAAAAUAACAUUUGCCACUUCACA